This 406-nucleotide ribosomal RNA is filed under the name uncultured archaeon. RNAcentral's name for it is "bacterial SSU rRNA". It matches the Rfam family "Archaeal small subunit ribosomal RNA", at positions 321 to 727 of the family's 1478-position model. The record is from RNAcentral.
CCCUACGGGGUGCAGCAGGCGCGAAAACUUUACAAUGCUGGCAACAGCGAUAAGGGAACCUCGAGUGCCAGGUUACAAAUCUGGCUGUCGUGAUGCCUAAAAAGCAUUGCAUAGCAAGGGCCGGGCAAGACCGGUGCCAGCCGCCGCGGUAACACCGGCGGCUCGAGUGGUAACCGUUAUUAUUGGGUCUAAAGGGUCUGUAGCCGGCCGGAUAAGUCUCUUGAGAAAUCUGGCAGCUUAACUGUCAGGCUUUCAGGAGAUACUGUCUGGCUCGAGGCCGGGAGAGGUGAGAGGUACUUCAGGGGUAGGGGUGAAAUCUUGUAAUCCUUGAAGGACCACCAGUGGCGAAGGCGUCUCACCAGAACGGACCUGACGGCAAGGGACGAAAGCUAGGGGCACGAACCGG